UGCUAAGCUUUGAAAAAGAACUAGGUUUGGGGGAGAGAUUAGUUCAACAUACUAUAUUCGGAAACUAAUAAAUAACACAUAGAUUUUUGUGGAAGAGUAAGGUUUGACCCUUUGGGAGUGGAAACUCUUUUAAAGCUUAAAUUUGCAUAAUGCCUUCUCUUUAAGAAUUGUGAUUAGACAAUUUAUUUGAUAACUCUUGUUGAAGUUUGAGUUUUAUUUUUUUAAUGUUCCAUGUGAGAGUUAGAUUAUCAUGCCACUUGAAAAUUGUUUUUUUUUAUCAGCAUGAUGUUGUAAAUUAUAGUACUGUUUAUUUUUAUUUUUCUCUCCUUCAUUGCUAAGGGACUAGCAAUAUGUCGGUUGGGAGGAGUGAUUACUACUCAAAAAGUGCUAUUUCAU
This 396-nucleotide long non-coding RNA is filed under the name Vitis vinifera (wine grape). RNAcentral's name for it is "long non-coding RNA (VVIN_LNC002418)". The record is from RNAcentral. Lineage: Eukaryota; Viridiplantae; Streptophyta; Magnoliopsida; Vitales; Vitaceae.